Long non-coding RNA from Clarias gariepinus (North African catfish), 229 nucleotides. RefSeq lists it as uncharacterized. The transcript is spliced from 3 exons. NCBI's taxonomy places the organism in Eukaryota, Metazoa, Chordata, Actinopteri, Siluriformes, Clariidae. The record is from RefSeq and is a predicted model, not a curated record.
CUAAAACCACAGCAAAGCUCUUGUUUACUCCAAACCUACAGUCAGACGUAAGAGAACAUUGUCUCCUGCUUGCGGACCUUGCGGAGCUUCGGCAGGACGUCCGGCGGUCACUCGCGGCAGCUCACGGUGCCUAACACCGCAUCUUACCAUUUAUAAUGACACAAGAUGGGAAUCAAAGCAUGUGUGAAGUUUCAAAAUUCAUAAGUGAAUCUGAAACAAGAAAUCAGCA